AGGGUCGCGAACAGGUAGGGCCAGAGUAUUCAGUCGAAUGCUUUUUUGGCGUCAAGGGAUUGGAGGAGGGUCGGCUGUUGUCGGUGGUUUGAUGUCCAAAUUAGGUCGUAUGUUCUUCUGGUUUUAUCACACGCUUGGCGGUGUGGGAUGAAUCCGACUUGGUCCAGGUGGAUUAAUUUGGGAAGGAAGGGGUGUAGUCGGUUGGCAAGAAUUUUGGUGAAUAGUUUUAUGCCGGUGUUUAGUAGUGAAAUCGGCCGGUAAUGGCCUGGGUCUAGAUGGGUCUUGUGGGGGGAAAUUAUGUAACUUUUAAUUAUGUUAACUGAUAAUUUAAAGGGGAAGAGAUGUGUGGGUUGUACCUUAUACCUAAUUGGCUACUGUACUAAUUAUUGUGGGUCUCUCCCUUGCAUGGGAGGAUUGCAUAAAAGCAGGGGUUGUGUGAUUAAAGCUCAGUUCUGCUCCUAAUACUGUGUGUCGUCCAGUUAUUGGAAAAGGUGAUGGGAUUAUAUUACUGAUUGUGCUUGCUACGCUGCUGGAUUACUCUGUUACUGUGGAUGUUUUACCUGGGAUUAUUUACUUGUUCCUGAGCCAUACUGGCAUCUAUAGCGGAUUUAGUCUGUGGAAUAACAGCUCUCCGCUACACCUAGGUUAACUGGCACCUGGCUUGGAAAUGUAUACUGGCACCAUCCAAAGUGUAGGGUUUUCAAAAAAAUUUUUUGUCUCUCUAUGCAAUGCCACCAACACCCUUUUGUUAGGGAAAUUACACACAUUCUCACACAUCUGCUCAUAUUUAUAUGCACACACAUAUUUAUGCAGAUACAUGCUACAUUCAUACACACACAUUCAUAUACACAGUCCAAUUUAUAAUCACAUAUUUAAACACAUACACUCAUAUUGACAUACACACACACUCAUAUACAUACACCCACUGUCAUACGCGCACACAUUUACCCACCUUCAUACACACACACACGUCUAAUUUUUAUAUAGCUCUUUAUUCCUGGUACCCAUUGGUUUGCUGUUGAAUGCACAGCUCCUUGCAGUUCUGUUUUUGCUCUGUCACCCUGCUGGGCAGUCUAGGAGGAGACCAGUGGAUGUUGUCCUAUCUGACAUCACUGGAGGGACUACAAGGAGAGAUGUGUUGCAUACAGGACUUGCGAAAUAAACUGUAUUACCGGAACCCGUAAUCCCCAGUAAUGAAUACAAAUUAAAAAAAUAUCCAACAGGCGUCACAGUGUAGUGUGGGAAAAAAGAAACAAGGUUUAUUAAACCAUGAGGAGAAAAAAAACAACCCAAAAACAUACAAUGUAUUGGCCACACGGUCUUAAUCAUAUAUAGCAUUCAUCAACAUACCCAAUGAUGUAACAUAGGGAUUCCUGGCCAAACAAUAGCCUCAUUUCAAAAUCAUGACAUCAUAAUGUAGUGUCCCAAGGUCAAAUUGGUUGUCAUGGCAUCAAUAUACAAAAUAACAAAAUAAAUGGGCUAACCUAAAUGGAAUGUUAUAUAUAGUAAGACAGCAACCAAAUUGGACAACUGGUGUAGUAACAGAAGCAGGAAAGGUGUCUAAUGUGAGCACAGCUGCAGGACAUAUGCAGUAACUGGGUUGCCAUGGCAACCAGAAUAGCGCAAAUAUUUGUCCAGGGCUGAACCCUAGUAGAAUAUAUAACUGUAAAGAAGACAUUAGGAUAAUAAUCCAGGUAUUCAUAGAAGUCAGGGUGUUAUAGACAAAAGUAGUUUACAUGCAGAUGAAAAAAGCUGCAUUUAUAGGAGUUGAACAAAUAAGCACAUGUAGUGGAAAUAAAAAGAAAGUAGGAGGUCGAAAUGAGACUUACCAACAAAGUGAAUACAGCCCAGAGUGCCAAGAUAACGUUAUACACCAACACUAAAGAGAUCUGCGUUACAGUUACAAUGUAGAGACCAGAAAAAGUAGAAGUGAGGUAGCCAUGGCAACAAUAAACAAAUGAGUGAGAGCUGCCCCAAAAGAGUGUAGCCACCAAAAUGCUUAAAUAAGGAGAGGUUACUUUUUUACUACGUAUCUGGGUUUAUGUUAAAACGCUCCUUAAAACGCAUAGUGGUAUCACCUCAACGUAUAUCACCAUCAACGUAUAUGAGACCACAUUGACCACAUACAUGAGUAUAAAAUCCGAAUUGCAUGUUUAAUAUUUCUUUAUUCUGGGUACCUUCCCAGAACGGGGAUGAGUGAACGGGUCAUCUUUAAUAAUAUUAUUGCAUGCAUUGCAGUUGAGGAAUGGAAAUGUGCAAAACAUAGGAUUGGCCCCAAAUUUUUGUUUUACUUGGGAAAUUGGAUCAAUGUCUGCUUUCACUAAGGAGUAACAAACAU
This 2338-nucleotide long non-coding RNA is filed under the name Pelobates cultripes (western spadefoot toad). Lineage: Eukaryota; Metazoa; Chordata; Amphibia; Anura; Pelobatidae. The record is from RNAcentral.